UCUGGAGCUACAACCCCUCUACUCUGGAGCUACAGCCCCACUUCUGAGCAGAUCAGCAACACUCUGCAGCUACAGCCCCCCAACUCUGCAGCUACAGCCCCUCCACUCUGGAACUACAGCCCCACCACUCAGCAGCUCAGUGCCUGUGCUCAGGAACACUGAUCCCAGAUGCUGCACUGCUUGUUCAGGUGGCACCAGGGCAGGAGCUUUGCUGCAUUCUCCAGCUUCAGCAUCCCAGCAGAGAUGAGUUGUGGCUACAGCUAAAACUUCCCACUGAGUUUGAACUCAUCCAGCAAGAGUUCAGCUUUGCUCCUAGAAUCUGGACUCAGCCCUCCUCAGUUUUUCAAUCCCCAGGUGAAUUCUUCACCUUUUUUUUAGCCAUGAAAGCAGAGUGACCAACGCCUCGAACACUCCUCCUGCAGCUUUGCCCAUGUUUGGUUUUGAGUUGAACCUCUGGCAA
Molecule: long non-coding RNA, 460 nt
Organism: Calypte anna (Anna's hummingbird)
Lineage: Eukaryota; Metazoa; Chordata; Aves; Apodiformes; Trochilidae
Exons: 3
Source: RefSeq, a predicted model, not a curated record